This 116-nucleotide ribozyme is filed under the name Aedes aegypti (yellow fever mosquito). Its description in RNAcentral is "drz-agam-1 ribozyme". It matches the Rfam family "drz-agam-1 ribozyme". Lineage: Eukaryota; Metazoa; Arthropoda; Insecta; Diptera; Culicidae. The record is from Rfam by way of RNAcentral.
UGCCCAGCAACUCCUAUCUCUACCUCCUUGUGGCACUGGCCAGGGAACGAGUAACCUUAGGCAAGAUCGGGUAACUAACCCCGGUGGGAGCUUUGGUCGUAUGCUGAUAGGGAAGG